UCAAGCGACUAAGUGCAUCUGGUGGAUGCCUUGGCGAUCACAGGCGAUGAAGGACGUGUAAGCCUGCGAAAAGCUUCGGGGAGCUGGCAAUAGAGCGAUGAUCCGGAGAUGUCCGAAUGGGGAAACCCACCUAGCAAUAGGUACUCCUUGCUGAACACAUAGGCAAGGUAGAGCGAACGCGGAGAACUGAAACAUCUAAGUACCCGCAGGAACAGAAAUCAACCGAGAUUCCGUCAGUAGUGGCGAGCGAACGCGGAACAGCCUGUACGUGUUAUGGAUUGUGUUAGUGGAAGGCUCUGGAAAUGGCCGCCAUAGUGGGUGAUAGCCCCGUACACGAAAACGCAUUCCAAGGACUAGGCGUACGACAAGUAGGGCGGGACACGCGAAAUCCUGUCUGAAGAUGGGGGGACCAUCCUCCAAGGCUAAAUACUCGUGAUCGACCGAUAGUGAACCAGUACCGUGAGGGAAAGGCGAAAAGAACCCCGGGAGGGGAGUGAAAUAGAACCUGAAACCGGAUGCAUACAAACAGUGGGAGCCCCAGCUUAAAGCACCUUGGGUUCUUUGUCGGCGCAGCCGACAAAAGAACUUUCAAGAAGAAAUAGAACUUUAAGCUGGCCUUAAAGCAGGAUGCUUUAAGCUGGGGUGACUGCGUACCUUUUGUAUAAUGGGUCAGCGACUUACGUUCAGUAGCGAGCUUAACCGAAUAGGGGAGGCGUAGGGAAACCGAGUCCGAACAGGGCGAUUGAGUUGCUGGGCGUAGACCCGAAACCGAGUGAUCUAUCCAUGGCCAGGAUGAAGGUGCGGUAACACGCACUGGAGGUCCGAACCCACUAGUGUUGCAAAACUAGGGGAUGAGCUGUGGAUAGGGGUGAAAGGCUAAACAAACUCGGAGAUAGCUGGUUCUCCCCGAAAACUAUUUAGGUAGUGCCUCAUGUAUCACUUCCGGGGGUAAAGCACUGUUAUGGCUAGGGGGUCAUUGCGAUUUACCAAACCAUGGCAAACUCAGAAUACCGGAAAGUGCGAGCAUGGGAGACAGACGGUGGGUGCUAACGUCCAUCGUCAAGAGGGAAACAACCCAGACCGCCGGCUAAGGUCCCAAAUGAUCAGUUAAGUGGUAAACGAAGUGGGAAGGCCCAGACAGCCAGGAUGUUGGCUUAGAAGCAGCCAUCAUUUAAAGAAAGCGUAAUAGCUCACUGGUCGAGUCGUCCUGCGCGGAAGAUGUAACGGGGCUCAAACUGAUAACCGAAGCCGCGGAUUUGCACUUAGGUGCAGAUGGUAGGGGAGCGUUCUGUAGGUCUGUGAAGGUGUGUCGUAAGGCAUGCUGGAGAUAUCAGAAGUGCGAAUGCUGACAUGAGUAGCGAUAAAGCGGGUGAAAAGCCCGCUCGCCGAAAGCCCAAGGUUUCCUACGCAACGUUCAUCGGCGUAGGGUGAGUCGGCCCCUAAGGCGAGGCUGAAAAGCGUAGUCGAUGGGAAACGGGUCAAUAUUCCCGUACUCUCGUAUAGUGCGAUGUGGGGACGGAGAAGGUUAGGUCAGCCAGGUGUUGGACGUCCUGGUUUAAGCCGGUAGGUGGGAGCGGUAGGCAAAUCCGCCGCUCUAUUAACACCGAGACGUGAUGACGAGGCUCUACGGAGCCGAAGUGACUGAUACCACGCUUCCAGGAAAAGCCACUAAGCUUCAGCUAUACGAGAACCGUACCGCAAACCGACACAGGUGGGCAGGAUGAAAAUUCUAAGGCGCUUGAGAGAACUCAGGAGAAGGAACUCGGCAAAUUGAUACCGUAACUUCGGGAGAAGGUAUGCCUCUUAGGGUGUAGGACCUCGCGUUCGAAGCCUCGAGAGGUCGCAGAGAAUCGGUGGCUGCGACUGUUUAUCAAAAACACAGCACUGUGCCAACACGAAAGUGGACGUAUACGGUGUGACGCCUGCCCGGUGCCGGAAGGUUAAGUGAUGGGGUGCAAGCUCUUGAUCGAAGCCCCGGUAAACGGCGGCCGUAACUAUAACGGUCCUAAGGUAGCGAAAUUCCUUGUCGGGUAAGUUCCGACCCGCACGAAUGGCGUAACGAUGGCCACACUGUCUCCUCCUGAGACUCAGCGAAGUUGAAAUGUUUGUGAAGAUGCAAUCUCCCCGCUGCUAGACGGAAAGACCCCGUGAACCUUUACUGUAGCUUUGCAUUGGACUUUGAACAGACUUGUGUAGGAUAGGUGGGAGGCUAUGAAACCAGGACGCCAGUUCUGGUGGAGCCGCCCUUGAAAUACCACCCUGGUGUGUUUGAGGUUCUAACCUUGGUCCGUGAUCCGGAUCGGGGACAGUGCAUGGUAGGCAGUUUGACUGGGGCGGUCUCCUCCCAAAGUGUAACGGAGGAGUUCGAAGGUCACCUAGGUACGGUCGGAAAUCGUGCUGAUAGUGCAAUGGCAAAAGGUGGCUUAACUGCGAGACCGACAAGUCGAGCAGGUGCGAAAGCAGGACAUAGUGAUCCGGUGGUUCUGAAUGGAAGGGCCAUCGCUCAACGGAUAAAAGGUACUCCGGGGAUAACAGGCUGAUUCCGCCCAAGAGUUCACAUCGACGGCGGAGUUUGGCACCUCGAUGUCGGCUCAUCACAUCCUGGGGCUGUAGCCGGUCCCAAGGGUAUGGCUGUUCGCCAUUUAAAGUGGUACGUGAGCUGGGUUCAAAACGUCGUGAGACAGUUUGGUCCCUAUCUGCAGUGGGCGUUGGAAGUUUGACGGGGGCUGCUCCUAGUACGAGAGGACCGGAGUGGACGCACCUCUGGUGUACCGGUUGUCACGCCAGUGGCAUUGCCGGGUAGCUAAGUGCGGAAGAGAUAACCGCUGAAAGCAUCUAAGCGGGAAACUCGCCUGAAGAUGAGACUUCCCUGAGGACUUGAUCCUCCUGAAGAGUCGUUCGAGACCAGGACGUUGAUAGGUCGGGUGUGGAAGCGCUGUGAGGCGUGAAGCUAACCGAUACUAAUUGCUCGUGAGGCUUGAUCCU
Molecule: ribosomal RNA, 2985 nt
Filed under: Pseudogulbenkiania sp. MAI-1
Lineage: Bacteria; Pseudomonadati; Pseudomonadota; Betaproteobacteria; Neisseriales; Chromobacteriaceae
Description: bacterial LSU rRNA
Rfam family: Bacterial large subunit ribosomal RNA
Source: RNAcentral